RNAcentral lists this unclassified non-coding RNA (357 nucleotides) under fungal sp. RNAcentral describes it as "partial internal transcribed spacer region". The stretch from base 1 to 46 matches the Rfam family "Eukaryotic small subunit ribosomal RNA", at positions 1786 to 1831 of the family's 1831-position model. Lineage: Eukaryota; Fungi. The record is from RNAcentral.
AAGUCGUAACAAGGUUUCCGUAGGUGAACCUGCGGAAGGAUCAUUAACACGUAUCCAAACGUUAACCCCCCUGUGAACCUUCAAUGUGCUCGUACACUUUGUCAAAGCGAGGCAAUCCCUGGUAAAUCAUCACUUCCUCAAAGAGUGUGCAUGUUGCGCGAGGCAAGUGGCCUGGCAUUCCCAAGCAGUUAAUGUCUGAAAGUGUUGGAGUAACGAUCGUUGGAGGCCGACACGGCCGACGACCGGGUCACCGGGCGCAAGCCCCUUUAUCACCACUUAAUGCAUGACAGACGCGCCAGCGCUUAAUUGUGCGGCCACCAAAAAGAACAACUGUUAACAAUGGAUAUCUUGGUUCUC